GAUUAUAUAUAUUUUUAACGCAUUAUCAUUGAUUUAUUUACUGAACUAAAAGAUUAAAAUAUUUAUAGGAGCAUUAUCAUUACCUCAUUACAUAAUAAUUGUGUCCGGGAACGUGCGGAGGGCACUUUAUUUGCCAUAGACAACUUAUGCAUUUUUCUGCAUUUAUUUUUUCCUACUACCGCUUGAUUUUGUUUCCGUUUAUGUCAAAAGUGUCAAAACAGUUUCAAAAUAUUGUAAAUUUAUUGCAAAUAAUCUCAGACAUUUAGUUGAAGUGUUAUUUGUUCUUUGUUAUAUAACGGAGAAACGGAGGGUGGAAUUUUUUGUAUAAUAAUUGUAUAUAGAUUAUAGAUUUGUCUGGUCAAUUAGUUUGCCCCGAACACCGCUAUGGGCAGAACCACAAAGCGGCGUACAAAAAACAUACGUAAACGACGUAAAGUAGGUACAAGCUGCCUUACAAUAUCACUAUCACCAUAGCACCAAAUCGAAAAACCUGGCUUGGCGAAAUGUUUUGUAUUACUGCUGAAACGUCAAACGGUUCAACGAAUGCAGAGUAAGUAAAUUGAUACAUUUUAGUACGACGUUUUAGUAGACGAAUUGAUGAUCCUUGAUCGUUUGACACAAUCAAAAAUAUCUAAACACCGUAUGUUAAUAGACCUAAUAAACCGUAGAAUAAGUUUAUAUAAUGUCUGACAUACUUCAGACUCUAUUUAAUCAUAA
Molecule: long non-coding RNA, 717 nt
Organism: Leguminivora glycinivorella
Lineage: Eukaryota; Metazoa; Arthropoda; Insecta; Lepidoptera; Tortricidae
Exons: 3
Source: RefSeq, a predicted model, not a curated record